GGAGAGGUGGCCGAGCGGCCGAAGGCGCACGCUUGGAAAGCGUGUAUACGGAAACGUAUCGUGGGUUCGAAUCCCACCCUCUCCGCCA
This 88-nucleotide transfer RNA is filed under the name Deltaproteobacteria bacterium. Its description in RNAcentral is "tRNA-Ser". It matches the Rfam family "tRNA". From Rfam's summary of the family: Transfer RNA (tRNA) molecules are approximately 80 nucleotides in length. Their secondary structure includes four short double-helical elements and three loops (D, anti-codon, and T loops). RNAcentral also lists the same sequence under 2 other names. Lineage: Bacteria; Pseudomonadati; Myxococcota; Myxococcia. The record is from RNAcentral.